UACAGAGGUCUCAAGCGUUGUUCGGAAUUACUGGGCGUAAAGGGUGCGUAGGUGGCGCGCUAAGUCAGGUGUGAAAUUUCGGAGCUUAACUCCGAAACUGCAUUCGAUACUGGCGUGCUUGAGGACUGGAGAGGAGACUGGAAUUCAUGGUGUAGCAGUGAGAUGCGUAGAGAUCAUGAGGAAGACCAGUGGCGAAGGCGGGUCUCUGGACAGUUCCUGACACUGAGACACGAAGGCCAGGGGAGCAAACGGG
Molecule: ribosomal RNA, 253 nt
Filed under: uncultured bacterium
Lineage: Bacteria
Description: partial 16S ribosomal RNA
Rfam family: Bacterial small subunit ribosomal RNA
Source: RNAcentral